UUUAUAUACGCAAAACUUUCAUUAUACGUGAACUAAAUUAUGACAUCAUCAUGUUGCCCAGCAACCACAUAACAAUGGAAUAAAAAGCACAGAAAAAAACAAUACAGCAGCAUGAGCAUGUACUAGUGCAAUGACAAUGAAACAAAGCCGAGGGUUGCCAGUUAAAGUCUACUCUGAGCAUUAACUUGCUUAUGCUGCUGCUGAAGUUUUAGAUAUGAAAAUGUGUUCUGAACUUAUCUGAAAUGAAAAUGUGGUGUGAGAGGAAAGGAAAGGAGGUCUCCUGCCAAGAGGCUAGGAGCAAAAACACUGACCGUGGGAACUUUCUGCAGAAACCAACACCGACCCAACAGACACCAUCUCCCCUUGCGGCUGCUGUUAGCUGGAUGUGUCAGCUUGAUGUCACAUUACUCUCUCCAUAGCCACAGCAGGAGUCCUUAGCAACCAGCUCCACACCUGAGGACGCCCUGAAACUGGAGUCUGUGUGGUUAACUCAACCAUCCGGCCCACUCAAGACUUCAGAAGCUGGACGUUGUAAGGAAAGUGGACACUUCUAGGUCAGUUGGGAGGCCGACUGUUGCUGUGGCAUUCUGGAGAGCUGGAUUCAAAAUAUAAAUGUGCUCCAAUGGUGUGAAGUGACUAAAUGUCAAGCGCUAUGUUUGUGAUGGGGCUUUGUGCUCACAUGAGCAACGACAGAGCUGUGCUGUCAUAAACAAAACUAUGUGAAAGGUCAAGGGUUCAAAACCCUAAGAAUUUAAUGCAAAAGAAUAAUUCAGUGGAAACUGUUUAUUUAAAUGUGAAAAAAAUGGCCAAUAAGACAUCAUCAAACUGUUUACACAUUACUGUAAAAUGCAUGUUUUGGUUUUGGAAAAACAGGAGUCACAAAAAAUAAAAAGUAACGCGCCCUUUAAAUCACCAAAGUGUUACAUAUGAAGGACUUCAGUGAUGUGCUUCGUCUUUAUCUGACAGUUCAGAGUUUUAAACAGACAUUGACAAAAAAGUUGUUUUAUUCAGUUUUUAAGAUUAAAAAAAACAAACAAACUCCCUUUUAAAGCAUUAAGACGACACACAAUGAAUAAGGUAACAAUGAACGUAUUACAUGUGUGUGUUUUUAAAGCUGUAACACUCCUGAGCGAUAAUAACCUCAAAAUAAAGCAGCAGUAUUGCAGCAGAGAUCCAUCUCCAUGUUUGUUUUUUCAGUUAUGCUUAAAUGUUUCAAGGCUUUGAUAUUAACGGCAGAACAGAGUCAAAGUUUGCACUUUAGUGGCCCCACAUGGCAGAAAGGUGUCACUUUCUAGCAUUUUAACAGUUAAACCCUUCAUGAAUUUUUUGUUGUUGUAAUUUUGCCUUUUUCCGUACACCACCACAGAGGAUUUUAAAUCAAACAGUCCAGAUGUGUUUGAAGAACAGACUUCUAUCUUAAAUUUAAGGGCUUCAACAAAAAAUUUCAACUGUUUAGGAAUUACAGCCUUUUAAUACACAGUCCAGUCUCAAAAGUAAUUGGACAGUUGACUGAUGAACAAUUCCCUGCUCGUUAUUCAAUAGAAAUUCAGCAGAUAAAAGAUUUGAAGUUGCUUCCAAGUGUUAAACUUGCAUCUGAUAGC
Molecule: long non-coding RNA, 1601 nt
Organism: Oreochromis niloticus (Nile tilapia)
Lineage: Eukaryota; Metazoa; Chordata; Actinopteri; Cichliformes; Cichlidae
Source: Ensembl